UGGGUUAAUUGUUUCAGUUUGAAGCUCCGUUAAGUGAUUGCCCGAGAAAUGUUACCUGGUUGUAAAUGCGACAGAUUAAACUUUGGGAAACAUUGUUUUCAUUUGAUUGCUCCGGCGUGACAUACUUUUCAAUAUUAAGUUACAAAUCGAUUACAGCGAAGAAUUUUAACAGGCUUUCUUCACUGACUUCUUCAAAUUUUACGAGACUUUCAUUUCUAUAAAGUCUAACUUUAUGCUUUAAAAUCGAUAGACAGGGCGCGAGUUAAGUGGUAUCAAAUAUUUCGCGUCAAUUUUUAAUCUCACCAAUAUUGAGGCUGGGAGCUGAACACUUGGGAGAAAACAAGCUGAAAUAACCACUUUCCCUCAAACGCUCAAACGGCUGGAAAAGUGUGUUUUCACUUGAAACUGACAGUCUUUAUCAAACCACCAAUGGCGAAGUAACUAAUAAAUUAUGCAGCAGAAUGUGACCAUUCUGACCAAAUUAAAAGGAUAUCGAGAAAGAAUGGAACCAAAAAUGACCAAAGACUGCCCGUCUGGAAGUUGAUUUUAUUUCGGAGAACUCGGGUGGAAUUCCCGGAUAAACUAUUCAUGUUAUUUCGACAUAAAGAUUAUAUUACAAGUUCUACUGCGGGUAUACUUCAAAACAAAAGCCAUACGAAGAUUUCAUCGGAAACUUUGGGAGCUCUCAUUUUGCUGCGGAUUAUCAAGAUAGACAAUUUUCAUCUCGAGUACGCGUUGUGAAAUCAUCGAGUUAAGAAAUCAUUUUGGAAAGUGGAUUAAAAACUCUCUAUUUUCUUCUUGCGCUUACGGACUCCCAUUAAUGAAGUUUAUGACAAGAAGUUAUUAUUUUAUGGGCAAAUCUCUUCCUGAAGAGGGCUUUGCAUCUCGUUAACUUCAUAUUCACGUGGAGUUACAAUUUUGAAACAGCAGUCAGUUAUAUUUCUACUUUUACAUUUCUCUAUUUUUCUAUUACCUAAUGCAAUUCCCUUCAUUUUUCCAUUCAUCCAUGAAUGUUUAUUGAAGUCGUCGAAUAUCUCUAGAGCUUUCACUCAGCGAAAUUGGACCGAAAAAAGAAGCGCCAAUUUAUCAAUCUCAACUCAAUACUAUUUGCAGGGGUAGAUAAAAAACAGCGGGCAAAUCUCUAGGCGAAGUUGCCUUCAAAAAACCCUACCGGUGCAUAUUGAAAAGAAGACGUGCCCUGUACAAAAAAUUUUAAAUCGAGGAGUUAUUAAUAUUUAAAACUCCAUAGAAAAAAAAAUAAAGCUUCGUUUUUUCUCGCAAUUCUAUUAGGUUAUUUGACGGAAUAAAAAAUAUACCAUCCUGUUAUAAACAGUUUAUAACCAAUACCAUAUUUAUUUGUGCUGAUUAGGCUGCCGCCUGAGACUAUUAUCUUUAUCAAUUGAGGUCAGUGUCGCGUUUAUUUUCAAUAUAAUCUUACUUUUUAUCGUUCAGUUCCAGCCCAACGCCUCAUUUCCAAGUUAGACCCGUUGGUACCAGUGAGUAUAGCGUGGGUUUUUCCCAUAUCGCUAUCUUGAUCCAGCCACUUCAGUAUUUUCUAGCCCAGAAAAAUAAACGUCUGUAUAACAUAACAUUCGCUGAAAUAAAGCACCAUCUAAAGGUAUAUAUGUACACCACUACACUACACCUUGAAAAAAAAUACCAAUUGAAAUAUUGAUUGUAUUUAGAGUUGGUGGAAAAGUGAGAUAUUAACUUCGUUUAAUUUGCUGAUAGAUAAAACAAUUAUACCAAUACACUGCGCUGUACGAUACUCUUUACGUACUGAUAUUGGUCAUUCCUUCUUAAAAAAAUAGACAUUUGAAAAAAUUGCGUAUCGGAAAGUUUUGAUCUCGUUUUUUUUUAAUCGGAUGUCAUAUUGCUAUAAAUUACUGUUCAUAAAAGUACCAAUUAGCUCAAAUAACAGGUACAGAAAUGUACACAAGACGUUAAUCUUGUUAUCAAGUCAACUUUAUGGCUGGUUUAUGUUCGAUCAAAUCCCAGGCAGCCAUCUGAGCCUUAGGAUUUAAAGGGACGAAAAGAACGAUUUGAUUAUUUUACAUCAUCUAAUCCCGCUUAUUGGUGCUGCUCCCUCUUUUCCUGCCAUUUUCCAGUUUCGACCUCACAUUACACGAUGACACUUGUCAGCCUAUUCGUCGCUGUUAUGACAUGGUGGACGAUAGCGACAGGACAAUUCGACCCUCAGCCACUGGAGAGGACGUACAUCCUGUCUGGUCCUCAGAGGUGGGAGGGGUCAGUGAACAAGCCAGUGUCCCUUAACUGCGAGGCCUUCAUUCCCAGGAAUAACAUCAUUCAGGGGGGCGUGCAGGUGCAGGAGAUGCGCUGGAUGUACAAGGCCUCUGGCGCUCAGAAGUUCCAAGAGGUGCAACAGUCUGCAAGUCGCACCAACAAGGUCACCAUCUUCACUACCAACUACAACGACAAAGCCCAGACCAAAUCAUCCCGACUGGAGUUCGAACGGGUGCAGGGGGGCAAUGCGGGCGAGUACAAGUGCACGGUGGGGGGAGGAGUGACUUAUGGGGGAGCAGAGAGCGAGAUUGCACUCGUUCGAAUCAUCCCGGACAUGAUGAUCUAUCCAAGUGUGGUAAACAUGGAGCUGAACAAACCCUUUUCGAUCACGUGUAACCUGUCAAUCAACCCCGCCCAACUAUACGACACACCUGGUCUGGGUCUGAACCAGAAUGGACAGAAUGUUCUGAGACCAGUAGUGAAGUGGACUGUGUCGACCCAAUUGGGGGUGGAUCCGGAUGAUGUGAACAGAAUGCAGGCACUGUACGAGGACUAUGCCAGAGACCCGCAGACACUCACCAACCUCAACAUUAUAGUGUCGCGCGAUGGUCAGACACUGCACGUGGCCAAUGCGACCACAGAUCACGCCGGCUACUACUGGUGCACUUUCCAGAGCUACUCCAAGUCAUUCACUGGACACAUCAAGCAGAGAUCCAUAGUCAGGUACGGACCUCGGUUCCAGGAGGCCAAACUGCGCCACUUCAACACCACCCGCACCCUCAAGUCCUUCUUGGGGGAGACAGUGGACAUCUACUGCAACAUCAUCUCCCUCCCAUUCGGGGUGGUGCAAUGGUACCGCAAGGGAAACAUCCCACUCCAGCACAGCCAGCAAAGAUACCCCCUCCACCCUCACAAAAGCGACAGGUACUACUACUUCCAACUGGACAAGUACCGCAACCCUACAAUCCUCAGACUGAACCGGGUGCUGUAUGACGACAGGGAUGAGUACACGUGCAACGUCACUGCAGGCGGCAUCCGACUCUCCUGGUCCACACUUCUCAAAGUCAAAGACAAAUACUCAGCCUUCUACCCUCUGGGAGUCAUUCUAGCCCAAAUAGGACUCAUUUUCGGACUCAUUUUUGGAGCUGAGCGAGUCUACAAUCCCAAAGGUCACUCACACUCCCACCAUCAUCACAAUCACUCCAACGCGCACAGCCACCACAGUCACACUCACACCCAUACUACCCACAACGACCCCCUAGGCAGACCCCUGGGCAGUUACGGGGGCGGGGUUCUGAAGAAUCACGGGGGUGGGGCUGGGAGCUUACCUCGCGGGAUCCCCUCAGGAGCUUACGAGAAUUACCAGGGGAACAUUAGUCAACACGGGGGGACGAUGCCAAAUGUGUAUCUAGAUUCAUCAAAUCAGCAACGCAUGAACAGUAGUAUGAACAUAAUAAACAACAACAACGUGAACAACUACGGCGGCAAUUCCCUGAGCAGAAUACCUUCAAUGCCGCCUAUAUCUCUUCUACAGUAAGUGUAGUAUGAGUGAUGUAUCCCCAAAUGGGAGGAGUCCACAGUCCACUAAUUUGCUGUUCGCGUCAAAGGGUAAAAUUUGAGACAUCAAUUGGGAAGACACUGACACAAACCCAAAUGAACAGUGACAAGAAACCUUGGAAAAACUGCAAUGCUUGAUUUUAUACAUAAUUCCGAUUCAUGGUUUUAAUUUAAUAUUUAUUUAUAUGCUACGGAUAAUGAUUAACCUUGGUGUUAUCAAACUUUUCGAUACAA
This is an RNA transcript of Symsagittifera roscoffensis, 4035 nucleotides long. RefSeq lists it as uncharacterized. The record is from RefSeq and is a predicted model, not a curated record. The transcript is spliced from 12 exons. NCBI's taxonomy places the organism in Eukaryota, Metazoa, Xenacoelomorpha, Acoela, Convolutidae.